RNAcentral lists this ribosomal RNA (309 nucleotides) under uncultured archaeon. Its description in RNAcentral is "bacterial SSU rRNA". It matches the Rfam family "Archaeal small subunit ribosomal RNA", at positions 526 to 834 of the family's 1478-position model. The record is from RNAcentral.
UGGCCGGGUAGGUCCGUCGGGAAAUCCACUGGCCCAACCAGUGGGCGGCCGGCGGAAACCACCUGGCUCGGGACCGGAAGACCCGAGGGGUACGUCCGGGGUAGGAGUGAAAUCCCGUAAUCCUGGACGGACCGCCGAUGGCGAAAGCACCUCGGGAGGACGGAUCCGACAGUGAGGGACGAAAGCUAGGGUCUCGAACCGGAUUAGAUACCCGGGUAGUCCUAGCCGUAAACGAUGCUCGCUAGGUGUGCCGCCGACUACGAGUCGGCGGUGUGCCGUAGGGAAGCCGCUAAGCGAGCCGCCUGGGAA